UACGUAGGGUGCAAGCGUUAUCCGGAAUUACUGGGCGUAAAGGGUGCGCAGGCGGUUUUGUAAGCCAGAUGUGAAAUCCCCGGGCUCAACCUGGGAAUGGCAUUUGGGACUGCAAGGCUUGAGUGCGGCAGAGGAGACUGGAAUUCCCGGAGUAGCAGUGAAAUGCGUAGAUAUCGGGAGGAAUACCGAUGGCGAAGGCAGGUCUCUGGGCUGACACUGACGCUCAUGCACGAAAGCGUGGGGAGCAAACAGG
This 253-nucleotide ribosomal RNA is filed under the name uncultured bacterium. Its description in RNAcentral is "partial 16S ribosomal RNA". It matches the Rfam family "Bacterial small subunit ribosomal RNA", at positions 524 to 776 of the family's 1533-position model. The record is from RNAcentral.